AACCUGGUUGAUCCUGCCAGUAGUCAUAUGCUUGUCUCAAAGAUUAAGCCAUGCAUGUCUUAGUGUAAAUAACUCUUAUGAAACUGCGAAUGGCUCAUUAAAUCAGUUAUCGUUUAUUUGAUGGUCCCUUACUACAUGGAUAACCGUAGUAAUUCUAGAGCUAAUACAUGCACAAAGGCCCGACUUACGAAGGGCUGUAUUUAUUAGAUUUAAAGCCGACAUUUUUUGGUGAUUCAUAAUAACUUUUCGAACCUCAUGCCUUUAUGGUGGAGGUGAUUCAUUCAAAUUUCUGCCCUAUCAACUCUUCGAUGGUAGGAUAGAGGCCUACCAUGGUUUUAACGGGUGACGGAGAAUUAGGGUUCGAUUCCGGAGAGGGAGCCUGAGAGACGGCUACCACAUC
This 400-nucleotide ribosomal RNA is filed under the name uncultured marine eukaryote. RNAcentral's name for it is "SSU rRNA". It matches the Rfam family "Eukaryotic small subunit ribosomal RNA", at positions 1 to 416 of the family's 1831-position model. The record is from RNAcentral.